AUUGAACGCUGGCGGCAUGCUUUACACAUGCAAGUCGAACGGUAACAGGCCUUCGGGUGCUGACGAGUGGCGAACGGGUGAGUAAUGCAUCGGAACGUGCCCAGAGGUGGGGGAUAACGCAGCGAAAGCUGUGCUAAUACCGCAUGUGAUCUGAGGAUGAAAGCGGGGGACCAGGCAGCAAUGUUUGGCCUCGCGCCUUUGGAGCGGCCGAUGUCAGAUUAGGUAGUUGGUGGGGUAAAGGCCUACCAAGCCGACGAUCUGUAGCUGGUCUGAGAGGACGACCAGCCACACUGGGACUGAGACACGGCCCAGACUCCUACGGGAGGCAGCAGUGGGGAAUUUUGGACAGUGGGCGCAAGCCUGAUCCAGCAAUGCCGCGUGCGGGAAGAAGGCCUUCGGGUUGUAAACCGCUUUUGUACGGAACGAAAAGGCUCUGGCUAAUACCUGGGGCUGAUGACGGUACCGUAAGAAUAAGCACCGGCUAACUACGUG
This 492-nucleotide ribosomal RNA is filed under the name uncultured bacterium. RNAcentral describes it as "partial 16S ribosomal RNA". It matches the Rfam family "Bacterial small subunit ribosomal RNA", at positions 30 to 507 of the family's 1533-position model. The record is from RNAcentral.